GAUGAACGCUAGCUACAGGCUUAACACAUGCAAGUCGCGGGGGCAGCAUGGGGGUUGCUUGCAACCCCCCGAUGGCGACCGGCGCACGGGUGAGUAACGCGUAUCCAACCUGCCCUUCACCACGGGAUAACCCGGCGAAAGUCGGACUAAUACCGUAUGUUGUCCAUUGACGGCAUCCGAUUUGGACGAAAGGUUUGGCGGUGAAGGAUGGGGAUGCGUCCGAUUAGCCAGACGGCGGGGUAACGGCCCACCGUGGCUACGAUCGGUAGGGGUUCUGAGAGGAAGGUCCCCCACACUGGAACUGAGACACGGUCAG
This 316-nucleotide ribosomal RNA is filed under the name uncultured bacterium. RNAcentral describes it as "bacterial SSU rRNA". It matches the Rfam family "Bacterial small subunit ribosomal RNA", at positions 28 to 334 of the family's 1533-position model. The record is from RNAcentral.